This 497-nucleotide ribosomal RNA is filed under the name uncultured bacterium. RNAcentral describes it as "partial 16S ribosomal RNA". It matches the Rfam family "Bacterial small subunit ribosomal RNA", at positions 28 to 507 of the family's 1533-position model. The record is from RNAcentral.
GAUGAACGCUGGCGGCGUGCCUAAUACAUGCGAGUCGAGCGAACGGACGAGAAGCUUGCUUCUCUGAUGUUAGCGGCGGACGGGUGAGUAACACGUGGAUAACCUACCUAUCAGACUGGGAUAACUUCGGGAAACCGUAGCUAAUACCGGAUGAUAUUUUGAACCGCAUGGUUCAAAAGUGAAAGACGGUCUUGCUGUCACGUCUAGAUGGAUCUCGGCUGCAUUAGCGGGUUGGUAAGGUAACGGCUUAUCAAGGCAACGAUGCGUAGCCGAACUGUGUGGGUGAUCGGCCACCCUGGAACUUGGACACGGUCCAGACUCCUACGGGAGGCAGCAGUAGCGAAUCUUCCGCAAUGGGCGGAAGCCUGACGGAGUAACGCCGCGUGAGAUAUGAAGGUCCUCGGAUCGUAAAACUCUGUUAUUAGGGAAGAACAUAUGUGUAAUGUACUGUGCACAUUUUGACGGUACCUAAUCAGAAAGCCCCGGCUAACUACGUG